UAGUAGUUUUGCGCUAAACCCAGUCCCUGCCCAUUUCGCCCUCCCCGGCCGUCCCCGUCGAUAUCACCCGAGCCCUAACUCCCGACUCCUUCCUCGCCGCGCCGCCAUGGCGCCCCCUCGGCCCGCUUCACCACAGAGCUUGCCGCCCGUGGCUGCCACCCGAUCCCGCGGUCGCCCGUACGAGGGCUGGACUCUCAAGGAGCUGAUUGGGGAGGUGCGCCGUCUACGACGAGCCGCCUCCUCGGCGCCGCCCCGGCCGGCGGGCGUCCUCGACCUCGACCAGGGGGACGCGCGCGCCUCGGACACGGUCGCCCCCUCGCCGCCCUCACCGUGUGAAUCCCAGGAGCAACCCCACCAUCUUGGCAAGAGGCUGGAGGAUGUGCUUAUUUCCCUACGGGAUGUCGCCUUCCAGUUCAUCAAGAUCGGUCGACAAGACGAGGUGCGUAAAAUCGUGAAUGUAGCACACGAUAUUGUGGUUAACUUCUGCAAUGCCAUUAGAGCGCCCGAAGCGUUCAAAUUAGUGGCUGCUGCUGAGAAUGUGAAACCACAUCUGUUGAAGAUAGAUCAUGAUGACAACCUUCUGUUUCUACAAUUUAAGGCUGCACUGGAGAGGGAACAGCAGGUUCACAAUGUUAACCAUGAGAUUGCUAUAUCUCUUGACAAGUACACCAAUUGCCCACUGUCCGGGACGGAGAUUGCAGAGUUAACUCAGCCAUUGAGAAGCACAUCAUGAACUACAUGGGUUCCUCUCUCAAGGGGUGCCCGGUCAUUGGUUAGUAUAAGUGUUCAUUUGUGAGGAUAAUUUUUCAAAUGUGCCAUCACAAGUAUACAACUGGAUUUGCACAAUGUUACUUGAAAUGCCAUUGACUUCAUCAGGGAAUACUAUUCUGAAAUGGUUAAUAGGAACCUUGCAUGUAAAAACUUCUCCAUCCAUUUGUUAGCACUUAGCAUAAGUCUACAUUAUUAGGAAGUAUGAUUUCACAAUGUAAGUCAACAAAAGAAUUCAAGAACAUCAUCGAUUUAUCAUUGCAAUAUUUCUAUAUUCUAUCUCUGAUUUAAUAAUGUAAAAGAGGUUUGAUAUUUCUAUUAUACUAUAAUGGGGGUAUAUGGCCCAAUGCUAUUAGCUUUGUAUUGGACUUUUAGGUCUUUCAAUGUUGGGGGGAUGGGAGCUACUGUAAUAUUUAUCGUGAAACAAGGAGGGAGGGGGUAGUAUAAUGCCGCCAUUAUUUAUAUGAAAAAAAAGAAGAAGAGAGAACUUGGUAUGUAUACCAUUCCAUUGCUUUGCUUUAUUUGGUAUACAACAAAAACAACAGCUAUGUGAUGGUGGGAAGUGUCUAGCACUGUAGUGGGUCUUUUUAUCUGGUUUGUUCAACAAUGUGCUGCAUGGUUGUGGCAAGUCCAACAAGUGGCAUGUUGUGUGGGUGAGAUCCAUGGGUGAUGGUGUGAGAGUGGUGGCAAGGUUGUUGCAAGCUAUGUGCUACCUGAUUCCAUGGUGGUGACCUGGUGGGGCAUAUGACCGACAUGUCCCUUAUGGAUAAGGUAAACAGCGGUAGUCUGACUAGUAUGACUGGCAGUUCCUGUGGUUAAUGGCUGAGUAUCCAUAGGGUAUAAGACGUGUGUAAUUCUUUUCAAGAAGUGACUAGCAAAGCCAUUUUGGUUAAUUUUGUGAGUGCAACCAGUGGUGCUGAGAGGGAGGGAUAAAUAACGCUGAUAGUCCUUGACAUAUUUUUUUAUUAAAAAAAUAUUCUAGUAAGGCCAUUUUGAGAAAUCUUGUGCAAAAUCAGUUGCAUAGUUGCAUUUAGCCGAUUUCUGAUGUUAUUUUGUAGUUAAGAAAUUUAAAUGAUGGCAUUUGAAAAUCUCUCUUUUUUUAAAAAAUAAUGUUUUGUGUUGAGGUUGUAUGAGGUUCUAAGUCUUCUUUAGGUUGUCCUGGUGCUGUGUCAAACGACCUGGUAUUUGAGGAUGCAGAGCUUAGGCACGACAUAAAGUACUGCCACUGACAGAGAGAAUGUGCAAGAGGUUUGGUUUGGUUACAGGUCGAACAGGCUUCAAUUCUGCAACGCGAGGCAAACGUCUGCUGUGUUUUGUUUCUCUGGGCACCUGUCAUUUACCUUUGGCUUAAACAAGGCAUUCAGCGGUUGAUCGCUGUGCCAUGCCCUUGUACAUAGAAACAAAUAUUAUUCUGUACAUGGAAUGGAAGAGUUCCAACACCUGCAAAUGAAUGAGCACUGUCAGCGUUGGGCAAGUGGUUCCGAUUUCGGCUGGUGUGGAUUUUAAUCCGGGAUUGAAGAUGCGUGCAUCGGCAGAUAUCAUAUGCCGGUCAUGCUGUUGUUGCCGUAACAAUUUUUUGUUUCUAAUUGUUGCUACUUGCUACUCCCUCGGUUCCAUAAGGUUCCAUAAUAAGUUCAUUUUUUUA
Molecule: non-coding RNA, 2413 nt
Organism: Oryza sativa Japonica Group (Japanese rice)
Lineage: Eukaryota; Viridiplantae; Streptophyta; Magnoliopsida; Poales; Poaceae
Source: RefSeq, a predicted model, not a curated record